This is a non-coding RNA of Dermatophagoides farinae (American house dust mite), 347 nucleotides long. The record is from RefSeq and is a predicted model, not a curated record. Lineage: Eukaryota; Metazoa; Arthropoda; Arachnida; Sarcoptiformes; Pyroglyphidae.
AUCAGCAUUCUUCAAACCAAAAAAAAAAAAAAACAAACAGAAAAAAAAACAAAUAUAAUUCCUCUGAAAAUGGUGGCGGUUUCCAGUUAACCCGAUAAAAAAAUGAAACAUAACAAUUCGGUUAUGAAAUCAUAAAACCGACAACACCUUUGCCCGAAAAAAUUUUUUUUUUCAUUUUCCUCGACUAUUAUUAUUAUUAUUAUUUAAUCAUCGAGUCAAGAAGCUCGAACAGAAACAGACAAGAACAACAACAACAACAACAAAAAUGAACCACAGCCCUUCAUAAUGAUUUCAACAGCAACAACACUAAUAAUAAUAUAAUAAUAAUAAGUAAUGGAAAUGAUUAA